Molecule: ribosomal RNA, 455 nt
Filed under: uncultured bacterium
Lineage: Bacteria
Description: bacterial SSU rRNA
Rfam family: Bacterial small subunit ribosomal RNA
Source: RNAcentral
UACGGAAGGCAGCAGUGGGGAAUAUUGCACAAUGGGCGAAAGCCUGAUGCAGCUAUGCCGCGUGUAUGAAGAAGGCCUUAGGGUUGUAAAGUACUUUCAUCGGGGAGGAAAAACAAAACUAAUAAUUUUAUUUCUUGACGUUACCCGAAAAAGAAGCACCGGCUAACUCCGUGCCAGCAGCCGCGGUAAUACGGAGGGUGCUAGCGUUAAUCAGAAUUACUGGGCGUAAAGAGCACGUAGGUGGUUUUUUUAAGUCAGAUGUGAAAUCCCUGGGCUUAACCUAGGAACUGCAUUUUGAAACUGAAAUACUAGAGUAUCGUAGAGGGAGGUAGAAUUCUAGGUGUAACGGUGAAAUGCGUAGAUAUCUGGAGGAAUACCUGUGGCGAAAGCGGCCUCCUAAACGAAUACUGACACUGAGGUGCGAAAGCGUGGGGAGCAAACAGGGAUUAGAUACC